Molecule: long non-coding RNA, 1095 nt
Filed under: Cucumis sativus (cucumber)
Lineage: Eukaryota; Viridiplantae; Streptophyta; Magnoliopsida; Cucurbitales; Cucurbitaceae
Description: long non-coding RNA (CSAT_LNC002677)
Source: RNAcentral
UAACUUAGUCAAACAUAACUCUAUCAUAUCAUGUUUAAUCAUAGCAUACCUCAAAUACAAUGUAUCAUGUAAUUUUAAUGUAAGCAAUCUAUCAUAACAUCUCAAUCAUACAUGUUUUCCCUUAACUACAUUAAUACAUGAUACAAAAUAUACAUGCAAUUUUAACAUGGGGAUCCAAUAGAAAAAUCUCUUACCUAGAUAUUAGCUACACAAAAUUUAAUCAUGGCUGCGGUCAAACUUUCCAAUAAGCCAAUCCAACGAAUGAGGUUGAAAUCCAAUUCGACCUUAGUUCGGAGAAUUUCACAACUCAAAUUCCCAAUUAAAAUUUACCAAACGUUCAAGCAAAAUAUCUCAUCUUAAAAUCCACAACUUAACUUGGUUGGGACAAAAUAGAUAAAUACUGGAAGUACCAUAUCCAAUCAAAAGUAAGCAAUUCUCACCAAGUAGUGUCUCAAAACAGGGAACGACUCGACAAAGGCAGUCGACUCGGGCGCACGGCUCGCGAAAAGGAACCGGCUCGAACACUUGCACUCGCGCAGCUUGGAGACGUGCGACUUGAUGGGGGGAACGACUAUGUGAAGGUUGUAGCAGCUCGGGUCUAAAACGCGGCUGACGCGUGCAACUUGAAGAGGGGCUCGGCUGCGUGGGUUAUGUGCGGCUGUCGAGAUGGGGAACGAUCAGCGUCGUGGACUUCUGUACAAAGAGAGACGAUCGACGACGGAGGAGAAGUGCACGGAGGAAGACAAAGGUCGUUCGACGGUCUAAACGCAACAACAAGUCGACGCGGCUGGAGGGAAUCGAAUGGUUGGCUACGCGAUCGUGACACUUCGACUUUGGGACGAACUGAGACGCUCUCACCGAAAUGCUGCACGCGACGAAGGCUAGAGGAGUGGGGCGACGGCGUCUGCUCCUAGGGAUUCUUUGUAGAGAGGAAAUGUGAAUGGUAAAGGCACGUGAGAACCUCUAUUAAAUAUAUACAAUAAUAAUAUUAUCUAUUUUCCCCAAAUAACUCCUCUUUUCCUUUUUCUCUUUCCAAUCCAAUUAAUUUCUCUCUCUCUUUGAUAAGGCAAUCAAAUUAUCUCCUCUAAAUUCUCA